Molecule: long non-coding RNA, 890 nt
Organism: Triticum urartu
Lineage: Eukaryota; Viridiplantae; Streptophyta; Magnoliopsida; Poales; Poaceae
Source: RefSeq, a predicted model, not a curated record
CUCCCGUCCUCCCCAUCCCGCCGCCGCUGUCGCCUCCCGAUCCGAUCCGCCCAGCCCCUCCUCCCAUCCCGCCCAGCCCCGCCGCCUAAGUAUGUGUUACAAUCUAUAACAACUCUGGUUAUGCAGGUUGCGACGAUGGCGCUGCUAACCAAUGUUUCUGUGGAUCAAAUGGAACAGCUCAAUGAGGGUUUUGCCUCUGGAUUGGACGUCCUUCAGCAAGCUCUGCAUACCAUCAACAAGCUCGUUGAAGCGGCACAAGAGUGGCCGACGAGUGGCCGACGUUACAGCUCCAACAGCUGACGGAGAAGCUUGAAAGAGAAGCCCAUUCCAGAGCUGACUUGGAGAAGGAGCUUGACAAGGAGAGGAAGACCAAGGCUCUUGUGGAGGAGGAGGUUGACAAGGAGAGGAAGGCCAAGGCUCUUGUGGAGGAGGAGGUUGACAAGGAGAGGAAGGCCAAGGCCACGUACAAGCAGCAGAUAGCAAAGAACCAAACUGAAGCGAAGAAAAGGAAGAGUGAUAUGGCCACUAUCUGAAGCAGACAACAGCCGCAUCCAGCAACAAUUAAAAGCAGCAGACAAAGGACCAAGCAAGAAAAAUGCUGGAGCUGGGGUCAAGACUUCUCGAACAGGUGGCAAGUGAGGUUUACAGGGCAUCACAAGGAUGGAGGAUCAACGACGCGAGGAUUCAAGCCUGAGGCUGCUUUGGUGGUGUGGAUUUGUCUCCACAGGCGCUGAUCUCCUUGUAAUAGGUCUAGUCUGCUUGUUGAUGCCUGUUUUGCUUAGGUGACACUCCUGUUGUGCGCUCCCUGGUGGUGGCUUUUGUUUAGAGGGCUUAACUCCUGCGUUGGAUCUUAUUACUUUCGGCUUUGUUAGUUAGCUGUUUGCUGCGUU